RNAcentral lists this ribosomal RNA (263 nucleotides) under uncultured archaeon. Its description in RNAcentral is "partial 16S ribosomal RNA". It matches the Rfam family "Archaeal small subunit ribosomal RNA", at positions 748 to 1009 of the family's 1478-position model. The record is from RNAcentral.
CAGCCGUAAACGAUGCGCGUUAGGUGUAUCGACGACCACGAGUCGUCGAGGUGCCGAAGGGAAACCGUGAAACGUGCCGCCUGGGAAGUACGGUCGCAAGGCUGAAACUUAAAGGAAUUGGCGGGGGGAGGCACCACAACAGGUGGAGCCUGCGGUUUAAUUGGACUCAACGCCGGAAAUCUCACCGGAUAAGACAGCAGAAUGAUUGCCGGGCUGAAGACUCUGCAUGACUAGCUGAGAGGAGGUGCAUGGCGUAGUCGUGU